This 368-nucleotide ribosomal RNA is filed under the name uncultured bacterium. Its description in RNAcentral is "bacterial SSU rRNA". It matches the Rfam family "Bacterial small subunit ribosomal RNA", at positions 431 to 793 of the family's 1533-position model. The record is from RNAcentral.
UACUUUCAGCAGUGAGGAAGGCGGAGUCGUUAAUAGCGGCCUCGUUGACGUUAGCUGCAGAAGAAGCACCGGCUAACUCCGUGCCAGCAGCCGCGGUAAUACGGAGGGUGCGAGCGUUAAUCGGAAUUACUGGGCGUAAAAGCGCAUGCAGGUGGUUUGUUAAGUCAGAUGUGAAAGCCGGGCUCAACCUCGGAAUUGCAUUUGAAACUGGCAGACUAGAGUACUGUAGAGGGGGUAGAAUUUCAGGUGUAGCGGUGAAAAUGCGUAGAGAUCUGAAGGAAUACCGGUGGCGAAGGCGGCCCCCUGGACAGAUACUGACACUCAGAUGCGAAAGCGUGGGGAGCAAACAGGAUUAGAUACCCUGGUAG